CCUACGGGGGGCAGCAGUGAGGAAUAUUGGUCAAUGGUCGGGAGACUGAACCAGCCAAGCCGCGUGAGGGAUGAAGGUACAGAGUAUCGUAAACCUCUUUUGUCAGGGAACAAAGGCGGGGACGUGUCCCCGGAUGAGUGUACCUGAAGAAAAAGCAUCGGCUAACUCCGUUCCAGCAGCCGCGGUAAUACGGAGGAUGCGAGCGUUAUCCGGAUUUAUUGGGUUUAAAGGGUGCGCAGGCGGUCUGUUAAGUCAGCGGUAAAAGCCCGGGGCUCAACCCCGGCCCGCCGUUGAAACUGGCAGUCUCGAGUUGGAGAGAAGUAUGCGGAAUGCGCGGUGUAGCGGUGAAAUGCAUAGAUAUCGCGCAGAACUCCGAUUGCGAAGGCAGCAUGCCGGCUCCACACUGACGCUGAGGCACGAAAGCGUGGGUAUCGAACAGGAUUAGAUACCCUAGUAGUC
This 459-nucleotide ribosomal RNA is filed under the name uncultured bacterium. Its description in RNAcentral is "partial 16S ribosomal RNA". It matches the Rfam family "Bacterial small subunit ribosomal RNA", at positions 338 to 795 of the family's 1533-position model. The record is from RNAcentral.